This is a long non-coding RNA of Mastomys coucha (southern multimammate mouse), 400 nucleotides long. RefSeq lists it as uncharacterized. Lineage: Eukaryota; Metazoa; Chordata; Mammalia; Rodentia; Muridae. The record is from RefSeq and is a predicted model, not a curated record. The transcript is spliced from 3 exons.
GUCAAUUCAGAGUCCAGCAAAGAGUGAAGGGAGUUACAACAAGCCCACAUGCCUGGCACAUGGAUCACCACUUAGCAGGUUCCUUGAAGGAGAAGGUACCCAGAAGCAUUUCGUAAAGAUACUUUCUCUACUCUUCUGCACCUAACAAUAGACUAAAGGGAGCCAGUGUGCAUGGACAAAACAGAAGCAGAUGACAGGAUAUUCUAUCUAAAAGCAGAUAUUCUACACAAAGCAGACAGCAAGCUCACUGUCCAUAGAGAUCACAGCAAAGUGGCUGGACAAGAAUGGAGGAGGCUGGACUAGCCAGGAGGUACAGGCCUCAGAGGCGGCAGGGCAGCUGGCAUAGGAUCCGUUCUAUCUCCUCCUUCACCUAGGAGGAGGUUCUGCAGAACCACAGCCC